This 123-nucleotide small RNA is filed under the name Rhizobium sp. BK313. Its description in RNAcentral is "ar14". It matches the Rfam family "Alphaproteobacterial ar14". Rfam says of the family: Smr14C2 was renamed NfeR1 (Nodule Formation Efficiency RNA) highly expressed in salt stress and during the symbiotic interaction on legume roots. Lineage: Bacteria; Pseudomonadati; Pseudomonadota; Alphaproteobacteria; Hyphomicrobiales; Rhizobiaceae. The record is from RNAcentral.
AAACAUCGAAACGGCGAUCUCCUCCUCCCAACGCCUUUCGAUAUGGGUCGGCAACCCUCCUCCUCCCAGUUGCUGACCAGGUUUGAAGGCCCGACGGAUCUCCUCCCCCGUCGGGCUUUUCAU